Molecule: transfer RNA, 72 nt
Filed under: Camelus bactrianus (Bactrian camel)
Lineage: Eukaryota; Metazoa; Chordata; Mammalia; Artiodactyla; Camelidae
Also listed under: 2 other names
Rfam family: tRNA
About the family: Transfer RNA (tRNA) molecules are approximately 80 nucleotides in length. Their secondary structure includes four short double-helical elements and three loops (D, anti-codon, and T loops). Further hydrogen bonds mediate the characteristic L-shaped molecular structure. tRNAs have two regions of fundamental functional importance: the anti-codon, which is responsible for specific mRNA codon recognition, and the 3' end, to which the tRNAs corresponding amino acid is attached (by aminoacyl-tRNA synthetases). tRNAs cope with the degeneracy of the genetic code in two manners: having more than one tRNA (with a specific anti-codon) for a particular amino acid; and 'wobble' base-pairing, i.e. permitting non-standard base-pairing at the 3rd anti-codon position.
Source: Rfam by way of RNAcentral
GAGAGUAUAGCUCAGUGGUAGAGCACAUGCUUAGCAUGCAUGAGGUCUUGGGUUCAAUCAUCAGUGUCUCCA